RNAcentral lists this unclassified non-coding RNA (208 nucleotides) under plant metagenome. RNAcentral describes it as "partial contains small subunit ribosomal RNA, internal transcribed spacer 1, and 5.8S ribosomal RNA". The record is from RNAcentral.
GUAGGUGAACCUGCGGAAGGAUCAUUCAUAAUAAGUGUUUUAUGGCACUUUUUUAAAUCCAUAUCCACCUUGUGUGCAAUGUCAGGGUUGAUUUUUCUCUCGAGAGGAUCAACCCCCAACAUCAACUAUAUCUCAACUCUUUGUCUGAAAAAUAUUAUGAAUAAAACAAUUCAAAAUACAACUUUCAACAACGGAUCUCUUGGCUCUC